This 119-nucleotide microRNA precursor is filed under the name Capnocytophaga canimorsus Cc5. RNAcentral's name for it is "microRNA". Lineage: Bacteria; Pseudomonadati; Bacteroidota; Flavobacteriia; Flavobacteriales; Flavobacteriaceae. The record is from RNAcentral.
AAAAAGAAUUAAAAUAAUAAACACCCUUUCUGUCAGGUUGAGCGAAGUCGAAGCCCAAAAAAGCACAAGGCUUCGACUUCGCUCAGCCUGACAAUCCAAAAAAUUAAGUAUUUAUAGUA